This 293-nucleotide long non-coding RNA is filed under the name Setaria italica (foxtail millet). Its description in RNAcentral is "long non-coding RNA (SITA_LNC005538)". Lineage: Eukaryota; Viridiplantae; Streptophyta; Magnoliopsida; Poales; Poaceae. The record is from RNAcentral.
GACGUCUUCCCUCCGCCGCGGACGCGGAUCCUCAUGUCGAUGUCCUUGAACCGGGAGCGCCCAGCGAGCAAGAUGGGCUCGAAGGCCUUGAGGCGGAGCCCCUCCGGGCGGAUCAGCUCGAUGGGGGCGCCGUUCACCUUGAUCAGCCCGCGCCCCGGCUUGGUGUAGGCCACGGCCACGGCCGUCUUCUUGCGGCCGAAGCACUGGACCGUGCCCGCGGUGGGUCGGGUGAGCACGGUAGACAUGGUGGCGGUGGUGGCUGCUGGGAUCGCAGCGGCGGCGGUAGGGCUUUG